AGUGAACGCUGGCGGUAGGCCUAACACAUGCAAGUCGAACGGCAGCACAGUAAGAGCUUGCUCUUACGGGUGGCGAGUGGCGGACGGGUGAGGAAUACAUCGGAAUCUACUUUUUCGUGGGGGAUAACGUAGGGAAACUUACGCUAAUACCGCAUACGACCUACGGGUGAAAGCAGGGGAUCUUCGGUCCUUGCGCGAUGGAAUGAGCCGAUGCCGGAUUAGCUAGUUGGCGGGGUAAAGGCCCACCAAGGCGACGAUCCGUAGCUGGUCUGAGAGGAUGAUCAGCCACACUGGAACUGAGACACGGUCCAGACUCCUACGGGGGGCAGCAGUGGGGAAUAUUGGACAAUAGGCGCAAGCCUGAUCCAGCCAUACCGCGUGGGUGAAGAAGGCCUUCGGGUUGUAAAGCCCUUUUGUUGGGAAAGAAAAGCAGCAGGUUAAUACCACGCUGUUCUGACGGUACCCAAAGAAUAAGCACCGGCUAACUUCGUG
Molecule: ribosomal RNA, 492 nt
Filed under: uncultured bacterium
Lineage: Bacteria
Description: partial 16S ribosomal RNA
Rfam family: Bacterial small subunit ribosomal RNA
Source: RNAcentral